CACGGAGUUAGCCGGUGCUUAUUCGUAUAGUACCUUCAGCUACCCUCACGAGGGUAGGUUUAUCCCUAUACAAAAGAAGUUUACAACCCAUAGGGCAGUCGUCCUUCACGCGGGAUGGCUGGUUCAGGCUUGCACCCAUUGACCAAUAUUCCUCGCUGCUGCCUCCCGUAGGAGUCUGGUCCGUGUCUCAGUACCAGUGUGGGGGAUCACCCUCUCAGGCCCCCUAAAGAUCAUCGCCUUGGUGAGCCGUUACCUCACCAACUAGCUAAUCUUGCGCGUGCCCAUCUCUAUCCGCCGGAGCUUUCAAUAUCAAACGAUGCCGUUCAAUAUAUUAUGGAGUAUUAAUCUUCCUUUCGAAAGGCUAUCCCCCAGAUAAAGGCAGGUUGCACACGUGUUCCGCACCCGUACGCCGCUCUCUCAUUUCCGAAGAAACAAUACCGCUCGGCUUGCAUGUGUUAGGCCUCCCGCUAGCGUUCAUCCUGAGCCAGGAUCAAACUC
RNAcentral lists this ribosomal RNA (498 nucleotides) under uncultured Cloacibacterium sp. Its description in RNAcentral is "partial 16S ribosomal RNA". Lineage: Bacteria; Pseudomonadati; Bacteroidota; Flavobacteriia; Flavobacteriales; Weeksellaceae. The record is from RNAcentral.